Mizuhopecten yessoensis (Yesso scallop) is the source of this 221-nucleotide long non-coding RNA. RefSeq lists it as uncharacterized. Lineage: Eukaryota; Metazoa; Mollusca; Bivalvia; Pectinida; Pectinidae. The transcript is spliced from 3 exons. The record is from RefSeq and is a predicted model, not a curated record.
CAAAGACAAAAACACUAGUGACAGGUGACACUAGAAAAUGUGUGCUGGAGAAAACUGUGUCCAGGUCGUGUGCCAGGCCUAAUGGGCAAGCCUAGCUAAAGAUAUUCAGCCAGAUACUGACCUCUACCUCAGACACAUAGAGAUGUUUCUUUGGGCCCUGGCAAGACUGGGAGGAGUGUCGCAACGGCGUUCAGCGCAAACAGCGGGAAGUUCUUCAAGGG